RNAcentral lists this ribosomal RNA (320 nucleotides) under Oenococcus oeni. RNAcentral's name for it is "bacterial SSU rRNA". It matches the Rfam family "Bacterial small subunit ribosomal RNA", at positions 107 to 422 of the family's 1533-position model. The record is from RNAcentral. Lineage: Bacteria; Bacillati; Bacillota; Bacilli; Lactobacillales; Lactobacillaceae.
UGAGUAACACGUAAGAAACCUGCCCUUUAGUGGGGGAUAACAUUUGGAAACAGAUGCUAAUACCGCGUAACAACAAAUCACACAUGUGAUCUGUUUGAAAGGUCCUUUUGGAUCGCUAGAGGAUGGUCUUGCGGCGUAUUAGCUUGUUGGUAGGGUAGAAGCCUACCAAGGCAAUGAUGCGUAGCCGAGUUGAGAGACUGGCCGGCCACAUUGGGACUGAGACACUGCCCAAACUCCUACGGGAGGCUGCAGUAGGGAAUUUUCCGCAAUGCACGAAAGUGUGACGGAGCGACGCCGCGUGUGUGAUGAAGGCUUUCGGG